This 496-nucleotide ribosomal RNA is filed under the name uncultured bacterium. Its description in RNAcentral is "partial 16S ribosomal RNA". It matches the Rfam family "Bacterial small subunit ribosomal RNA", at positions 28 to 507 of the family's 1533-position model. The record is from RNAcentral.
GAUGAACGCUGGCGGCGUGCCUAAUACAUGCAAGUCGAGCGAACAGAUGAGGAGCUUGCUCCUCUGACGUUAGCGGCGGACGGGUGAGUAACACGUGGAUAACCUACCUAUAAGACUGGGAUAACUUCGGGAAACCGGAGCUAAUACCGGAUAAUAUAUUGAACCGCAUGGUUCAAUAGUGAAAGACGGUUUUGCUGUCACUUAUAGAUGGAUCCGCGCCGCAUUAGCUAGUGGUAAGGUAACGGCUUACCAAGGCAACGAUGCGUAGCCGACCUGAGAGGGUGAUCGGCCACACUGGAACUGAGACACGGUCCAGACUCCUACGGGAGGCAGCAGUAGGGAAUCUUCCGCAAUGGGCGAAAGCCUGACGGAGCAACGCCGCGUGAGUGAUGAAGGUCUUCGGAUCGUAAAACUCUGUUAUUAGGGAAGAACAAAUGUGUAAGUAACUAUGCACGUCUUGACGGUACCUAAUCAGAAAGCCACGGCUAACUACGUG